This 87-nucleotide transfer RNA is filed under the name Patescibacteria group bacterium. Its description in RNAcentral is "tRNA-Ser". It matches the Rfam family "tRNA". From Rfam's summary of the family: Transfer RNA (tRNA) molecules are approximately 80 nucleotides in length. Their secondary structure includes four short double-helical elements and three loops (D, anti-codon, and T loops). The record is from RNAcentral.
GGCGGGAUGCUGGAGUCUGGUUUAACAGGAUUGUUUCGAAAACAAUUGUGCCGAAAGGUACCGUAGGUUCGAAUCCUACUCCCGCCG